AAGUUUCCGUUGUUAUGAUACAUUUAGAGGAACUCUAGUGAUACUUACUGCAGCGAUUUGUAUCAGCUUAAUAUUAAAGAAAGAAAGUAGACCUCUAAAAUCGCCUCAGAAACAGAUCUAAUAAUUAAAGAUCCAAUAUUAAGUGUCAUAGCUAUUUUAAUAGNGCUUGCAUGCUUAUAAAAGGAUAAGGAUAAAAAAGAAAAUGUUGCUCUUUGAAGUGAG
Non-coding RNA from Cinara cedri, 222 nucleotides. Lineage: Eukaryota; Metazoa; Arthropoda; Insecta; Hemiptera; Aphididae. The record is from the annotation of a GenBank genome assembly.